GCUUAGGAAAUGAGAUGGCAGAUAGCCUGACGUCUCUUGUAUCCCUUAUCAUCUUCCGAGCUGUGCUGCUGGUGCGCAUCCCAGUCAUUUAUUAUGGAGCAGACAAUAGCUUCUCAGAACCUUCUCCAUUAGUAUCGGCUUUGAAUGAAGAUUUAAUUGUACAUUCCUUUGGCGUUCUUGCUGCUAUGCGCGGGACCAAUGGAACCAAUGGGAUACACUGCAUGACUCACCACAGUUCCUAAUGCCACUAGAAUAAAUGAAGAGGUGCUGAAAAGAUGGAGGAGCGAGGUGGUGAGGUGACCACAUGCUUCUCACUGAGGACAUCCUUUGAACUGGGAAUCGAAGUGUUGGUUUCGUAUGAAAACAUGGACGCAGCCCU
Myodes glareolus (Bank vole) is the source of this 379-nucleotide long non-coding RNA. RefSeq lists it as uncharacterized. The record is from RefSeq and is a predicted model, not a curated record. NCBI's taxonomy places the organism in Eukaryota, Metazoa, Chordata, Mammalia, Rodentia, Cricetidae.